UGGGGAAUAUUGCACAAUGGGCGCAAGCCUGAUGCAGCAACGCCGCGUGAACGAUGAAGGUCUUCGGAUCGUAAAGUUCUGUUGCAGGGGAAGAUAAUUACGGUACCCUGUGAGGAAGCCCCGGCUAACUACGUGCCAGCAGCCGCGGUAAUACGUAGGGGGCUAGCGUUAUCCGGAUUUACUGGGCGUAAAGGGUGCGUAGGUGGUCUUUCAAGUCGGUGGUUAAAGGCUACGGCGCAACCGUAGUUAGCCUCCGAAACUGGAAGACUUGAGUGCAGGAGAGGAAAGUGGAAUUCCCAGUGUAGCGGUGAAAUGCGUAGAUAUUGGGAGGAACACCAGUAGCGAAGGCGGCUUUCUGGACUGCAACUGACACUGAGGCACGAAAGCGUGGGUAGCAAACAGG
RNAcentral lists this ribosomal RNA (403 nucleotides) under Verrucomicrobiota bacterium. RNAcentral's name for it is "Verrucomicrobia bacterium partial 16S ribosomal RNA". It matches the Rfam family "Bacterial small subunit ribosomal RNA", at positions 355 to 776 of the family's 1533-position model. Lineage: Bacteria; Pseudomonadati; Verrucomicrobiota. The record is from RNAcentral.